This 75-nucleotide transfer RNA is filed under the name Robinsia catherinae. RNAcentral describes it as "tRNA-Lys". It matches the Rfam family "tRNA". Rfam says of the family: Transfer RNA (tRNA) molecules are approximately 80 nucleotides in length. Their secondary structure includes four short double-helical elements and three loops (D, anti-codon, and T loops). Further hydrogen bonds mediate the characteristic L-shaped molecular structure. tRNAs have two regions of fundamental functional importance: the anti-codon, which is responsible for specific mRNA codon recognition, and the 3' end, to which the tRNAs corresponding amino acid is attached (by aminoacyl-tRNA synthetases). tRNAs cope with the degeneracy of the genetic code in two manners: having more than one tRNA (with a specific anti-codon) for a particular amino acid; and 'wobble' base-pairing, i.e. permitting non-standard base-pairing at the 3rd anti-codon position. Lineage: Eukaryota; Metazoa; Chordata; Actinopteri; Anguilliformes; Chlopsidae. The record is from RNAcentral.
CAUUAAGAAGCUAAAAUAGGAUUCAGCAUUAGCCUUUUAAGCUAAAGAUUGGUGCCUCCCGACCACCCUUAAUGA